Molecule: long non-coding RNA, 208 nt
Organism: Hibiscus syriacus
Lineage: Eukaryota; Viridiplantae; Streptophyta; Magnoliopsida; Malvales; Malvaceae
Exons: 3
Source: RefSeq, a predicted model, not a curated record
AACAAUUAAUUAAUAAAAAUGUUGGGCGAUUUCCUAACCAGAUUGCUAGUGUUGGUUUUUGGAUAUGCAUAUCCAGCGUUUGAGUGCUUUAAAAAGGUGGAGAAGAGCAGGGUUGAGAUUGAUGAACUCAGAUUUUGGUGCAAAUAUUGGAUCCUUGUGGCUUUUAUUACUGUUUUGGAGAGGAUAACAGACAUUCAUUUCCUGGUAU